This 2068-nucleotide long non-coding RNA is filed under the name Cicer arietinum (chickpea). Its description in RNAcentral is "long non-coding RNA (CARI_LNC000386)". Lineage: Eukaryota; Viridiplantae; Streptophyta; Magnoliopsida; Fabales; Fabaceae. The record is from RNAcentral.
CCCAUGCUGCUCCAAUAGCAAAAACAAUAGGCAUUAGAAAGAUAUGUCCCUUAGAUGAAAGGGUUGGUGCCAAAGAUUUUAUAGGUGAAGCUUUUGGUGGUGGUGGUAGAUUUUCAACAUGAAUAGCUAAUUUCAUACCACCAUAGCAAAAACCUUUGCCACUUAUGAAAUAAUAAUGGCGAGUGACAUUCAAUGGGACAACAUCUCUUCCAGCUCCUGUUGUCCAAUUGUGAAGUGGAUGAUCUGAAUUACAACUUUCAUAAUCUGUUUUGUUCACUUCUAGCACAUUCAUUUGGUUCCUAUCAUACACAAAAACUUCAAAAAAAAUUAAAGUUAGUGCUUAGUGUUAUUAUGUAAUGAAAACAAAAACUUGGCAACAUUUAGGGAUUUUUUUAUAUGAAAUUAGUAAUUGUAACAUUUAAUAAUUUAGAGAUUAUUUAUUAGUGAUUUAAAAAAAAAACAGAAAUUGUUCUGUGUUUGUCUCCCGUAAUGAAUUUUUUUAAAAAAAUAACAAUUAUAAAAAAUAAUUUUUAUGAGAAGUUACUCAAAACAACUUUUUUUGAGUAGUUUUGAGAUUUUUUCAGAUUCUGAUUUUUUUCAAAUGUUGUAACAAACAAAUUAAAAUUGCUAAAAGUGAUUAUAUAUUUUUUAAAAUUAUUCUUUUGUAAAACAACAAAUGUACCCUUAAUCUUCUAAGCACUUUCAUUGGUUGGAUUGGAACUAGAAAUUUGCAAGUAGACAGAUACACAAAAAAAUGUUGUUACUUGAAGGAAAAAAAUCUAAAAGUUUUUAAAAAGUCUAAAUGAAAUUUUUUAAAUGAAAAUGUUUUUCUAAAAAGUCUAAAUGAAAAUUUUUAAACUUUUAUCUUUUUUCUGUACUACUCUUUACUAUUUAUUGUCUCAACCCACUUAAAUGAUUAUUUGAAAACAAUAAUAAAAAAAGAACAAAAUUUUCUGAAAAAACGAAACUAAAUGAUUAUUGCUUAUUUGAAGUUAUUGAAAGCAGUAAAUAAAUGUUUCUUAAGGCAAUAUCCAAAAGUCACUAGUUGGCAUGACUUUGACAAAAAUUAAGACCCUUAUGAGUAAUGAUAAAUCACAAGAGAAGAAAUAACAAAAGUCAACAUCUUGGUGAUUUGCUUUUCAUUUUCAAAUCAAGCCAUGAAUUGAGGGGGAAAUUGUAUUAUCAUACUUCACUUUUUGCUGAAAUAUGGAUGACACAAAUGAAAUUAUACUCACAAAUUAAUUAAUUAAUUAAAAUAAGACCAAAAAAAAAACUCAACAAAGGUAGAAAUUAAGGGUUUAUGUUUUAUCUAAAAUACUUAAACACAUGAAAGACAUGAAUAAGCAAAAAAGUUUACAAUCCAUUAGUCAAAAGCAACAAAAAAUUCUGGAUCUGAGAAUGCAGAACAAAAUUUCAAAAUUAUAAAAAAGGAUCCAAAUUUUAAUUUAUUUUUCUUGUGAAUUAUAUACUAUGGACAAAAACUUAAUUUAGAUUAACAUAAAAACAGUAACACCAAAAAAUUAUUCAGUUUCAGCACACAAAACAAGUUUCAUGAAUUAAGUAUUUAACAAUGGAUUUAACAUAUAGUUCAAAGAUUAAUGAAAGCAACCCAAAAGAUCCAAAAUUAACCAAAUCAAACCCUUAUGCCUCUAAAUAAAAUACCAAAUUUAGUAUAAUAAACAUGAAAAAGUUAGCAACUUUACUACUUUAGGUUAUUCUAUGCUUGAACAAGUUCAGAUCCAAUCUAAAUAAAGUAUGAAAAUUUAACUAUUUAUUAUAACAAAAACUCAAACUUUAGAGAGAGAGAGAGAGUGAGAGAGCUUACAAAGCCAAUCACCAUUGUAGAAAUGCUUUCCCUUAGCCCAAGUAGUGUAGUUGAAAUUAGUGUUCCAACCCAUUCUACCACCAACCAUGAACCUUGUAGCUGAGACCAUUGGUAACAUGAGAAGAACAGAAAAACAUAGAAAAAGAAGCACCAUUGUUGGUGGAACUGAUGAACUUAAUACCCUUUUCUUCAUACCCUCCAUUGCUGUUUUUGAAGCUAUCCAAUUUUUUCUGGAACACUCUC